This 543-nucleotide long non-coding RNA is filed under the name Olea europaea (common olive). RNAcentral describes it as "long non-coding RNA (OEUR_LNC009309)". The record is from RNAcentral. Lineage: Eukaryota; Viridiplantae; Streptophyta; Magnoliopsida; Lamiales; Oleaceae.
GGAGCUGCCACUCUUUGUGUAGACCGUGGAAAGAAUCUGGGUACCCCAGAAAGCGAAUUAUUCUGUAUAAAAUCAACAAAAAUUUGAUAAAAAAAUUCACAUUCAAGUCGAAAAAACAAUUGAUUUCCAUACAUUUCACAAAGUGGGUAUUUUUUUAACAUGAGAUUUAAGAUAUGGGUUGUGCUUAUUUUUCCAACCUGAUCCGGAAAAUUCAUGACUGGAAAAUGAAAAUAAGCCAGGAAAUACUUAAAUUACCAGAAAAGUGCUUCCAUUUACGGCGAACAUGGUGACAGAAUUGUAAGAAAAUCAAGAGUAUUAUUUGGAGGAAGAAAGAAAAGAAAGGUCCUCCUCUUCUCUCUCUUAUUAGUGAUUUGAGUUAGAGCAUUUAUAUCAGAAACGGUAUGAUCCUCCGUAUUUUCUAUUCUUUUCCAAAUCUUGGUUUAUACUUCAUGGGAUUGUCCAUCAAGGGCGUGUUUGGUCGUAAACUUGUGUUUCACUUUUCUUGAGUGAGUGAAUUUGCAUGGUCCAUGCAUAGUACAAGAG